This 242-nucleotide ribosomal RNA is filed under the name Clostridioides difficile. Its description in RNAcentral is "partial 23S ribosomal RNA". It matches the Rfam family "Bacterial large subunit ribosomal RNA", at positions 2016 to 2256 of the family's 2925-position model. Lineage: Bacteria; Bacillati; Bacillota; Clostridia; Peptostreptococcales; Peptostreptococcaceae. The record is from RNAcentral.
CUGUCUCAACAACAGACUCGGUGAAAUUGUAAUUCCGGUGAAGAUGCCGGAUACCUGCGACAGGACGGAAAGACCCCAUGGAGCUUUACUGUAGCUUGACAUUGGGUCUUGGUACUACAUGUACAGGCUAGGUGGGAGGCUUUGAAACCAGGACGCCAGUUUUGGCGGAGCCAUCCUUGGGAUACCACCCUUGUAGUACUGGGACUCUAACCAUAGGCCAUGAAUCUGGUCUUGGGACACUG